Long non-coding RNA from Nicotiana tabacum (common tobacco), 922 nucleotides. RefSeq lists it as uncharacterized. Lineage: Eukaryota; Viridiplantae; Streptophyta; Magnoliopsida; Solanales; Solanaceae. The record is from RefSeq and is a predicted model, not a curated record.
AUAUAUCGUGAAGACCCCCCCUAAUCGAUCAUCUUCUGGAGGAGACAAAAACACACAACUCCUCCUUCUUCCUGGACUGAACAGAAGCCUUAAAACGACCUUCAGAUGCCGGACCACCUCCAACACCACUGGCCACUCCCUCGCCACCAACAAUACUAACCGCUAUUCCCUCACCUCCAUUAAUCUCCAUAUGAGCUGUCACUCUAGACCCCAAGCACAGCAGCGACCCCCACCAGCUUCUUCUUCUUCGAACACUUGCCAGAACAGACCACUCCUUCAGUCGUGGCUUCUUCCUCUUCUAGCCUUGAACACCUCUGAACGGAUCCCCACUGUUACCCUCGCCCAAAAGACCCCCUGCUUCUUCAACCUUUGGACACAAGGAAGAGAACGACCUCCUCUCUCCAAUUUUCGACCAGCGUACCUUCCCAUUUCCCGUUUCCGUAGACAGAGAUCGAGAGGAAGUUCUGGACAGAAUCUUAGAAAAUUUCUCUGCUGAUUUUUUUGAUUUCGAUUUGAGUUUCGAAGUGAUGGAAUUCAAAUGAGUGAAGGUGCCGAAUUCGUGGGUGCUCGUUGAAUGCCAUCGGGUUUUGAAGUGUUUGUUUCAGUGCUCAUUUGGUGGAAUACGCUUCUGUUCGUUGAGUUUUAGUUGCCGCCUUCAAGUGUAUUAUUUUACCAACAUCGAAUUGAUUGAAACUCCUUCUUCCAGGUAUGGAUCUACGUACCAGGACUCGAGCAUGACAGAUACCCCAGGACAAUUGCGUUCAGGAGUUACUUGAGGAGACGUUUUAUAUUUUGAGCCUAUUUUUUAAGUCUCUUAGGUGGUUUAAGAGUUUGUCGAGUCUUUCAUUAUCGUACAUUCUAUUUUGUAUUUGAAAGACCAAAAAAUAUAAAUGAAAAAUUCAAAAAGAUUUUUCUUUCUUAA